Molecule: ribosomal RNA, 301 nt
Filed under: uncultured bacterium
Lineage: Bacteria
Description: partial 16S ribosomal RNA
Rfam family: Bacterial small subunit ribosomal RNA
Source: RNAcentral
CAGUCGCCGCGGGAAUACGUAGGGUGCAAGCGUUAAUCGGAAUUACUGGGCGUAAAGCGUGCGCAGGCGGUCCGCUAAGACAGAUGUGAAAUCCCCGGGCUUAACCUGGGAACUGCAUUUGUGACUGGCAGGCUAGAGUAUGGCAGAGGGGGGUAGAAUUCCACGUGUAGCAGUGAAAUGCGUAGAGAUGUGGAGGAAUACCGAUGGCGAAGGCAGCCCCCUGGGCCAAUACUGACGCUCAUGCACGAAAGCGUGGGGAGCAAACAGGAUUAGAUACCCCUGUAGUCCCUGUCUCUUAUAC